This 83-nucleotide small nucleolar RNA is filed under the name Arabidopsis lyrata subsp. lyrata. RNAcentral describes it as "Plant small nucleolar RNA R71". It matches the Rfam family "Plant small nucleolar RNA R71", at positions 25 to 107 of the family's 107-position model. Rfam says of the family: R71 is a member of the C/D box family of snoRNAs containing the C (UGAUGA) and D (CUGA) box motifs. Multiple nearly identical copies of this snoRNA have been identified in Arabidopsis, and it is thought to function as a 2'-O-ribose methylation guide for 18S ribosomal RNA. The record is from Rfam by way of RNAcentral. Lineage: Eukaryota; Viridiplantae; Streptophyta; Magnoliopsida; Brassicales; Brassicaceae.
AAGCCAUCAUUGAAUCUCUCCCAGGCUUCACAAAUGGAUUCAGACUGCUUUUGGGUAAAACUGGAGAUUUCAUUCCUAAGCCU